CCUGCGCGGCUUAAUACAUGCAAGUCGAACGGUAAUUCCGCCUUCGGGCGGGAACGAGUGGCGCACGGGUGAGUAACACGUAUGCAACCUACCCUGAACAGGGGCAUAACUCUGCGAAAGCGGGGCUAAUACCCCAUAGUAUUCCUAAAAGGCAUCUUUUUGGAAUCAAAGUCUUCGGGCAGUUUAGGAUGGGCAUGCGCCCCAUUAGCUUGUUGGUGAGGUAACGGCUCACCAAGGCUGAGAUGGGUAGGGGUUCUGAGAGGACUAUCCCCCACACUGGUACUGAGACACGGACCAGACUCCUACGGGAGGCAGCAGUAAGGAAUAUUGGGCAAUGGGCGAGAGCCUGACCCAGCCAUGCCGCGUGCAGGAUGACGGCCCUAUGGGUUGUAAACUGCUUUUCUAUGGGAAUAAACUUGUGUACUUGUACAUGAUUGCAGGUACCAUAGGAAUAAGCAUCGGCUAACUCCGUGCCAGCAGCCGCGGUAAUACGGAGGAUGCAAGCGUUAUCCGGAUUUAUUGGGUUUAAAGGGUGCGUAGGCGGACAUUUAAGUCAGAGGUGAAAUACCCGGGCUCAACCCGGGCUGUGCCUAUGAAACUAGAUGUCUUGAGGGCAACCGAGGUGGGCGGAAUGUGGAGUGUAGCGGUGAAAUGCAUAGAUAUUCCACAGAACACCAAUAGCGAAGGCAGCUCACCAGAUUGCAACUGACGCUGAUGCACGAAAGCGUGGGGAGCAAACAGGAUUANAUACCCUGGUA
This 758-nucleotide ribosomal RNA is filed under the name uncultured bacterium. RNAcentral's name for it is "bacterial SSU rRNA". It matches the Rfam family "Bacterial small subunit ribosomal RNA", at positions 36 to 792 of the family's 1533-position model. The record is from RNAcentral.